AUCUUCUUUGAGAUAACAAUCAAAUAAAAUAGACCCUAAAUACUUAACACAAAAAAUCUAGGGAUCAAUGGACAAAAUACACAAAAUACACCUAAACCCGAUUCUUCUUCUUAAGCUUACAUCAGCAUGAAAAACCAAAAACCCUAGCAACCUAGACUUCAUCUCCAUGACAGCCGCUUAACACCAAGGACGACCACCCCUGUAUUAUCGUCUUCCUCACACCCCAUCUUCGGAUAAGAACGCAUCAACCAAAACCCAACAGACACCAUCGUUUGCUUCAUCUCCUCCAGCGAACAAAGCCAACGCCGAGCACUCAUUCGACCAGACUGCCCGAAACACACACACACACAACCGUUGAUAAUCUUUGACUCGCCGGAAAACACUAACACAUAACCCACACACGUACAGAAACAAGAGAGGGACAGUAGUGAACCAGGUAAGCUUUUGUGAGCAUGUGAGGAACGAAGUAAAGGCGACGAGUUUCACUCUGGAAUCAAUGGACCAGUAGAUUCGAUUUAGCUUUGUUUGAGAUUCUGGCGCCAGCCAGAACUUCGCCAGUUAGGAAUUUCUAAACACGUAUGUGUACAAAGAAGGAAAACGUUUUUUUGUGUGUUUGUUCUGGUUUUCAGAUUCUACACGUUGCGAUUCUUAUUUAGUUUCCUAAUUUAGAUAUAAGAAUUAGUUCUAUUAGACUUUACAAUUAAAAAGAAAAAUACAGAAAAAAGACAAAUUGGUUCUUCUGUUAAUUUUGAUUUCAAAGAUGGAAUUGGUUUGAGAUAUUUGAUACGGAGUUACGUCUUGAGUUCGAAUAUGUCCACGAAGAUGUUUCUGUUCUUCAUUUGGUUAUGAUUUUUGGUUUUUCAAGUAUAGGAGUGGAGUUAAGUCGAGGUGGAUUCGAGUUCGUCGCCGGUUUUAGAUUUUCGAUGCCGAUUUGGGUUCCCAUAUGCGAUUCGUCACAUUUGAGUUCAAAACAGUGAAACAAUCAUUCUUUCUGCUAUAUUGAGG
Molecule: long non-coding RNA, 1005 nt
Filed under: Nicotiana benthamiana
Lineage: Eukaryota; Viridiplantae; Streptophyta; Magnoliopsida; Solanales; Solanaceae
Description: long non-coding RNA (NBEN_LNC022447)
Source: RNAcentral